RNAcentral lists this ribosomal RNA (473 nucleotides) under uncultured bacterium. RNAcentral's name for it is "bacterial SSU rRNA". It matches the Rfam family "Bacterial small subunit ribosomal RNA", at positions 34 to 498 of the family's 1533-position model. The record is from RNAcentral.
CGCUGGCGGCAGGCCUAACACAUGCAAGUCGGACGGUAGCACAGAGAGCUUGCUCUCGGGUGACGAGUGGCGGACGGGUGAGUAAUGUCUGGGGAUCUGCCCGAUAGAGGGGGAUAACCACUGGAAACGGUGGCUAAUACCGCAUAACGUCGCAAGACCAAAGAGGGGGACCUUCGGGCCUCUCACUAUCGGAUGAACCCAGAUGGGAUUAGCUAGUAGGCGGGGUAAUGGCCCACCUAGGCGACGAUCCCUAGCUGGUCUGAGAGGAUGACCAGCCACACUGGAACUGAGACACGGUCCAGACUCCUACGGGAGGCAGCAGUGGGGAAUAUUGCACAAUGGGCGCAAGCCUGAUGCAGCCAUGCCGCGUGUAUGAAGAAGGCCUUCGGGUUGUAAAGUACUUUCAGCGGGGAGGAAGGCGAUGGGGUUAAUAACCUUAUCGAUUGACGUUACCCGCAGAAGAAGCACCGGCU